Molecule: ribosomal RNA, 253 nt
Filed under: uncultured bacterium
Lineage: Bacteria
Description: partial 16S ribosomal RNA
Rfam family: Bacterial small subunit ribosomal RNA
Source: RNAcentral
UACGGAGGGGGCGAGCGUUAUUCGGAAUUAUUGGGCGUAAAGGGCGCGUAGGCGGCUGAACAAGUCAAAGGUGAAAUCCCUCGGCUCAACUGAGGAACUGCCUUUGAAACUGUUCGGCUUGAGGCCGGGAGGGGGUAGCGGAAUUCCCAGUGUAGCGGUGAAAUGCGUAGAUAUUGGGAGGAACACCAACGGCGAAGGCAAUGUCCUGGCUCGUAUCUGACGCUCAAGCACGAAAGCUAGGGGAGCGAACAGG